CUUCCUGAUCUCCAUCAGCACUUGAGUUUUUGAAGCAUUGAGAGGGAUGUAGCUAUGGAAUCUUCCUGGGGGAGAGCUCCGUCGAACUCUGCGGUCCGGGCUUCUCUACCUACGAGCUCGGGGGGGAGUUCAGACAUGCUUGUGUCCGGAGGAAGUUCGAGAACAUGGCUGAGCUUCACUCGACCCUUUUUUAGCUGCGGGCUUGCUGGAGUCACCCGCCUGUCGUUCCUUCGUGGCCUCCUCAUCCUUCAGCUUGAAGGCUUUCUCUGCUCGGGCAUAUCCUUCAGCCCGAGCCAGCAAAUCAGUGAAGUCCCUGGGAUUCUUCUUUUUCAGGGAAAAUAGAAGAUCAUUCUUUUGAAGAUCGCUCUUCAGGGCGG
This 377-nucleotide long non-coding RNA is filed under the name Elaeis guineensis (African oil palm). RNAcentral describes it as "long non-coding RNA (EGUI_LNC078821)". The record is from RNAcentral. Lineage: Eukaryota; Viridiplantae; Streptophyta; Magnoliopsida; Arecales; Arecaceae.